UACAUGCGUUGUAAGAUUUGAUUUGACGAAAAAUUUAAAAAAAUUUAUAAAAUUUUUUAGAUCUAAUAAGCCAUGUUUAGUUCACCCUAAAAACCAUAUUUUUUUUUUAAGAUUCCACGCCAUAUCGAAUCUUACGACACAUGCAUAAAACUUUAAAUAUAUACAAAAAGAAAAAAACUAAUUAUAUAGUUUGUCUAUAAAUAAUGAGAUAAAUCUUUUAAACAUAAUUAAUCUAUGAUUGAACAAUAAUUAUUAAAUAAAAAUAAAAAUGCUAACUAAAAAAUAAAAAGUUUUUCGAACUCAACAAGGUCUAAACAAGGCCCAAUACCAUACGGCAUUGCGAAGAAGAUGCUCCGAAGUCCAAAUGACGUGUCGCACUGUAGGAGUACCGUGUAGUAAACUAGUAAAUACUAUAUGCAAAGAAACACGAGCAGCAUAAAAGCCCAACAGUGAGAGCGAAAGAAGGUUGCGACCGAUCCCGAAUUCCCGAUGGAGAUGCGGUUUCCGGCGUCUUUCUCGCCGCCGCAACGUCCAAUUAGCACACUGCUGCACGUCUACCUGUAUGCGUCUGCGCGUCAGCGCGUGCGUCUCGUCGGAGCAGCAGCAUCCCAGUCAAAUCAGUCUGCUUCUCCCUCGCGCGCGAGCUCGAUGAUGCAUGCGUCCGGAGAGAUCAAUGUGAUUGAUGCAACAUCAGUGUUUGGAUCCCUUGCUCGUGAGGGCAGUGGUUACUCGGGCCUUGUUUAGUUUCAAAAAAAAUUGUAAAAUUUUUCAGAUUCUCGGUUAUAUCGAAUCUUUAGACGUAUACAUAGAGUAUUAAAUAUAAAUGAAAAUAAAAAUUAAUUGUGCAGUUUGAUCGGAAUUGACGAGACGAAUUUUUUGAGCCUAGUUAGUCUAUAAUUGGACAAUAUUUGUCAAAUACAAACGAAAGUGCUACUAUUUAUAUUUUGCAAAAAAAAUUUGGAAGUAAACAGGUCCUCAAUUGAGACGUUGUCAUAAUCACCGAUACUGGACG
RNAcentral lists this long non-coding RNA (1012 nucleotides) under Sorghum bicolor (sorghum). RNAcentral's name for it is "long non-coding RNA (SBIC_LNC007451)". Lineage: Eukaryota; Viridiplantae; Streptophyta; Magnoliopsida; Poales; Poaceae. The record is from RNAcentral.